UCCAAACUUGUUGAAGUGUUACUUCUUUACCGAAAGUUCCACUGCAUGCCUUCUCCAUUGUCUCUAGAACCCAGCAGUAGAACAAUAACCUGAAAUUCGAUAUGCAGAACAACUCUAUAAUAGUACUAGUAUUACUUCCAUCGAGCAGUUGUUCCUUGGGAUGCGUGCAGGCCAUCAACGUUUGAGUCUGAAGCAAUAUCUCCCGCGCUAUGCACCCUUGGUCUUGGAAACAGGGUGUGUGGAGGAGCCGCGUGCGCACGCUAAUCUGUCUCGCUGUGAAAGUUUAAUGGCGGCAGAGGUGAAACGCUCGCUAUCCAGCUAUUCAAGGAAAUCCGGCUGGUCAUCGUCUGUCUCUUGGAGCUGUGAAUGCUAUUCAAGGAAAUCAGGACGGUCGCAGUCAGCCUUGGAGCUGCGAAUGGCCAGAAAGGUACGUAACUGUCCAUUUUCGGCAACUUAUGCCCAGCUGUCUGUUGAAUGUGCCUCUGCCUGGUAUACCUGGACCCAACUGUAAUGUGAGCACUGUGGUUGAUAUGAUCCUUAGCUUGCUGGUAGGACACUGCACCAGAAAGUAGUGCCCUAGAAAAUUUCACCCUGCUGUAAUUGAUUUGAUUACAAAGUCCGAAAUCACGGAUAAGCUCCAAACUUUCAAAUAGGUUAUUUCAGCUUACCCCUAGCCCUGAGCGAGUUGUUUAUAGCAAUGUGGGUCCUUUGUUUUGUGCACUACAUUUUCCCCGCAAUACAAGGAAACUGGAUGGUCAAGAACUGUCUUGGAGCUGUGAAUGGCCAGAAAGGUGAGACAUUGUCACAUGUUGACGACUUGUGCCCCGCUGUUAUUGACAAUGUAUCUCUGUAUAACUCGGUGCAGCUGCAAUGUGAGUGCUGGUAGACUGCUAGCAUCCGCAUGUUGUGGCCUAGAUAAUCUCAUCCUGUUGUAACAAAAAAACUUGGAGAUAACCUUUGUCCAGUUUGUGGAGGAAAUCGGGAUGGUCACUUUCUGUGUUGGAGGUGGUUGUGGCCAGAAAGGUGCAAAACUGUCAAUUUGUGACGACUUGUGCCCAGUAGUAAGGUUCAAUGUAGCACUGUAUAACUGGGGUCAGCUGCAAUUGGAGUGUUUGGAUUGAAUGGUAUUUUAGUUUUCCAGUAGGUUCGCAUGUAGUGGCCAGAAACUUUGGUUCCACUGCAAUUGGUUUGGGAGUAAAGUCGGUAAUCACCGAUGAAAAGCCCUUGACUUGAAGAUGGGGUAUUUUUCAGCAUUGAGCAUCACUUGGCAAGUUGGUUAUAGCAUCGUAUCCAUUAUCUUUUGUCCAAUACAUUCUUCCCAGCUGUUUUUGCACAUCAGGGGUCACUAUCUCUCUCGGAGUUGUGAAUGCCCAGAAUUAUGAGAAAACGUCGAUUUUUGCACUUGAGCCCAACUGCAUUGUGUCUCUGUAACCUGAAAUUCUGUAUCUUGUAUCAUACUUGCAUUUCCUUUUCAUGUCCCUCGA
Molecule: long non-coding RNA, 1484 nt
Organism: Sycon ciliatum
Lineage: Eukaryota; Metazoa; Porifera; Calcarea; Leucosolenida; Sycettidae
Exons: 3
Source: RefSeq, a predicted model, not a curated record